RNA transcript from Fundulus heteroclitus (mummichog), 354 nucleotides. RefSeq lists it as uncharacterized. The transcript has 3 exons. NCBI's taxonomy places the organism in Eukaryota, Metazoa, Chordata, Actinopteri, Cyprinodontiformes, Fundulidae. The record is from RefSeq and is a predicted model, not a curated record.
ACACACAAAGAUCAGUUCAUACAAGAUGGCCAGGGAUAAAGACAGAGACAUGGAAAAGCCUCAUCUACACCUUUCUGUCAUCAGAUCCGUCACCUGGCUGCUUCUGGUUCUGCUUCAGACAUCCACAGCUCAAAGCUGUGAUGUUCAGAGUCGAGUAAACUUUGCAGAAAACAACGCAGUUGGUGAUGUUGUGACAACUAUCCAACUCGCACUUGGAGAAACAGUUGAAAUGACAAGCACAGGCCUACCGUUUGGGAUUCAAGGAAACCAGCUCAUAGCUACUCAAGUGUUGGACCACGAGGAGGCACAAAACUAUGCAGUCACUAUAAGUUGCAAAGGAGCAAGCGGAACGGU